Molecule: ribosomal RNA, 1114 nt
Filed under: Escherichia coli
Lineage: Bacteria; Pseudomonadati; Pseudomonadota; Gammaproteobacteria; Enterobacterales; Enterobacteriaceae
Description: partial 23S ribosomal RNA
Rfam family: Bacterial large subunit ribosomal RNA
Source: RNAcentral
GUCAGAGGCGAUGAAGGACGUGCUAAUCUGCGAUAAGCGUCGGUAAGGUGAUAUGAACCGUUAUAACCGGCGAUUUCCGAAUGGGGAAACCCAGUGUGUUUCGACACACUAUCAUUAACUGAAUCCAUAGGUUAAUGAGGCGAACCGGGGGAACUGAAACAUCUAAGUACCCCGAGGAAAAGAAAUCAACCGAGAUUCCCCCAGUAGCGGCGAGCGAACGGGGAGCAGCCCAGAGCCUGAAUCAGUGUGUGUGUUAGUGGAAGUGUCUGGAAAGGCGCGCGAUACAGGGUGACAGCCCCGUACACAAAAAUGCACAUGCUGUGAGCUCGAUGAGUAGGGCGGGACACGUGGUAUCCUGUCUGAAUAUGGGGGGACCAUCCUCCAAGGCUAAAUACUCCUGACUGACCGAUAGUGAACCAGUACCGUGAGGGAAAGGCGAAAAGAACCCCGGCGAGGGGAGUGAAAAAGAACCUGAAACCGUGUACGUACAAGCAGUGGGAGCACGCUUAGGCGUGUGACUGCGUACCUUUUGUAUAAUGGGUCAGCGACUUAUAUUCUGUAGCAAGGUUAACCGAAUAGGGGAGCCGAAGGGAAACCGAGUCUUAACUGGGCGUUAAGUUGCAGGGUAUAGACCCGAAACCCGGUGAUCUAGCCAUGGGCAGGUUGAAGGUUGGGUAACACUAACUGGAGGACCGAACCGACUAAUGUUGAAAAAUUAGCGGAUGACUUGUGGCUGGGGGUGAAAGGCCAAUCAAACCGGGAGAUAGCUGGUUCUCCCCGAAAGCUAUUUAGGUAGCGCCUCGUGAAUUCAUCUCCGGGGGUAGAGCACUGUUUCGGCAAGGGGGUCAUCCCGACUUACCAACCCGAUGCAAACUGCGAAUACCGGAGAAUGUUAUCACGGGAGACACACGGCGGGUGCUAACGUCCGUCGUGAAGAGGGAAACAACCCAGACCGCCAGCUAAGGUCCCAAAGUCAUGGUUAAGUGGGAAACGAUGUGGGAAGGCCCAGACAGCCAGGAUGUUGGCUUAGAAGCAGCCAUCAUUUAAAGAAAGCGUAAUAGCUCACUGGUCGAGUCGGCCUGCGCGGAAGAUGUAACGGGGCUAAACCAUGCAC